CGCACCGCACGGCCGCCGCGCGCCCGUCCCCUAGGCGGCGCGCGGCCGUAGGCGCGCUAGGAUCCGUCGCUUCCGAGACUGGCGGGAGACCUGGCCCUACGUGGCGCGGGAGUGGCGCCAGAAUUCAAACUAACAGCCCCAGUUGGAGGCGAGGCUACUGCCUGCCGGGAGCCAAGUCCGCCCAGGACAGAUUGGGGCCGGGAGUGGACUAGAGUUUUGCAGCGCUGGCGGCCUCAGCCAGGAGCCAGGUGCCUACCCCUGGUCUCCCAUGCGGGUGCAGGUCCCAAGCACCUGGGCCAUCCUCCACUGCCUUCCCAGGCCACAGCAGAGAGCUGGACUGGAAGAGGAGCAACCGGGAGAGAAUCCGGCGCCCCAACCAGGACUAGAACCCGGGGUGCCGGCGCCACAGGUGGAGGAUUAGUCUAGUGAGCCACGGCGCCGGCCUUGAGGCCACAACCCAGGACCAAUUUUUGUUUAUAUCGAAUGAUGUACAAUAUACCUACACUGUAGUUCUACAAAGACACAUCAGUUUUCCCAAAAAUCCUCCAGAUCUGCAGCAAGCCCAGUUACACCUAGGCAUACUUGUCAUCUACUGCACUGAUGACAUCCUCAUUACCAGCCUAAGAAACAAAUCGACCAGGUCCCUACAUAAGGUAACAGACACUAUGACACACUUAGGCUGGGUCCUCUACCUGAUAAAGUUCAGGAACCUGUUCAACAAGUACAGUUUCCCGGAAGCUCCUGAGCCAGUAAUCAGAUAAGUGAUCUUGAUAAAGUCAAGCAAAAAUUACUGUCCUUCACAGUAUGUACAAGAAAGAAACUCAAUAGCUAGGGAGUCUGUUUGGAUGUUGAAGAUAGUAUCUACCACAUCUAUGUAUUCUUGUGGCCUCUUUAAUUAAGAUGGCCUGAAAAAUAGUCACCUAUAAAUGGAUCCCUCAAUAACGGCAAUCUUUCAAGAUCAUACAACAAGCAAUGGCAUAGGCCCAAGUAGAACUAGUAACUCUCAGUAACUCUUACCUGUUCAGAUUGGAUCCUCUAACAAGAGACUGUUACCUGGAUGUGUGGACCCCUUGGGUUAUUAAAACUUAUUUACUUAUUUAUGUGGAAAGGAGAGAGGUUGGGAGGAGAGAGAGAGAAAGAGAGAGAGAGAGAAUACUCCCAUCUGCUGGUCACUUCUCAAAUGCCCUCAAGGCCUUAGCUGGGUUGAACUGAAGCUGAACCCAGAACUCGGUUGGAGUCUCAUAUGUCAGUGGCAGGGAUCCAAGUACUUGGGACAUUACCAUUGCCUCCCAGAGUCUGCAUUAGCAGGAAACUGGAGUGAGGAGCUGGAGCCAGUUAUUGAAUUAUGUUCUUCAACAUAGAAUGUGACAUCAUAACUGAUGUCUUAACUAUUGGGUUAAAUGCCCAACCCCAGCUUGGAUUUUAAACACGUAAGUUGCCCUAUGUAACUGUAGGUAUACACACUUCAAAUGACAAUUCUUAACCUGCCUUCCGGGCCUGACAAAAACAUAGUACCUGACUACUAAAGAACUGUUUGUAAUAUGAAACUCAAGCUUCCCCUCCUCAUUCGGGAACUCAAUAAUCUUACUAACAAAAUAAAGCAAGCUCCAUAAUUACAUACUACUGGUACAUCAAAAACCUAGCCUUAUUUGGGCCCAAAGGGCUUUACCAACUUCAUAAACAAGUAACCACCUUGCUGCUAGGGACUAAUGGCUCAUAGGGGACAAUUCCUUCUGUCCUUUAACUAAAUAGGACUCUGGUUCAGAGAUGUUCCAAGUGAUGAUAUGACUUGAUUCCAGGCAGAUCUCCAGUAUUUUAGCAAAUAGAGUCCAAUGGGCUCCUGUGGUCAUCUGUUCCAAGGAUAGAGAACUCCUAAAGCCAAGAAAAAAUACCAUAUAAUAAUGAUUUCUAUAUAGGCCACUCCGAUAGAACUCCCUGCUACAUAUUUGCAGACCCAUGGACCUUACAAAUGCACUAAUCGUAUGGUUCAUUGACUAACAGAUUAAUAAAUGGGCCACAAAAUAAUAUGCUAUACGGAAAUAAGAACUGUGGUAACAGCUUCCAAACUGGAAAGGAAACCUAUUUGUCACUCAUGUUGAUGCCCAGGACAAAGGUUCACUCAAAAGGAAACAUACUUGUAACUCAGAAGCUGAGCUGGCAAGCCCUCAGCAGAUCACUACAAUUGCUUUUUAGGUCUAUAAAAGUACAGGGCAUAGAAAUAUACCUCAGGUACAAAAAUGGAUCAAAUUACAAGGACUCACUCCUCUUCCCCCAAAUACAGAAACUAAAGCUGCAACAGUCAUAUGACUCCUAUCAAUGAACCCAGACAAUGCAACAUGGUAAACUGGAUCACAUUAACCAGACCAUAGGCUCCACUUGAAUGUGGCAAACUUACCACAUCAUAGAUUUCAGUGGUGCCUCAUUUAUGAGGAUACAUAUUCCAGAUAUAGAAUGGCCAUUCCAGUGCAUCAUGUAGAUUUGGAAAUCUUUUCUGUGGCUUUUACAAAGCACCUUUGCCAUAUGUUAAGGCAUCCAGCAGGAUUUCAAUCCAAUCAAGACACUGUAUUGCCUGCACAAGCUACAUAGCAAUAGGCAUGCUCCAUGGCAAAAGAUGGACCUUUUAUGCUCCCUAUCACCCCAAGCAAAUGUGAUAAUAAAAUGAUAAUAAAUAAUAAAAUAAUAAAAUGGUAAUUCAAAUAAUAGCUUCAAAAAGUCUAUCAGGAAGAAUAAUUUGCCAAAUGGUACCCCUACUUUAAAAAAGCCAAUUGUAAUUGAAUACACCCCAGAGUACAGAAAACAUGGCACUGCAAUGCAUAUUGUACAGUACAGAGCUUAAUGGCAGGUGGGGGACAAGGCAUCUGCCUGAAUUGGGCUUCACCUGUGAAAUUCCAGUCUCAGUAUACUCAAUCAUUCUUUUCAUUUUUUUCCCACAGGUGUACACUCUCUGGGGGGUGGCUUGUGGUCCAAGCUGUAGAGGGACUGCCAGUAGGAUCUUUGACUUAAACCUGAAAGGAAUUCUACUUUCAGAUGCCUGCAGGGCCAGCAGUGGGCCAAGCAGAAGCCACAAACUGGGAACUCAAUCCAGGUCUCCCACAAGAAUGGCAGGAACCCAACUACUUGAGCCAUCACUGCUACCUCCCAGGAUCUGCAUUAAGAGGAAGCUGGAGUCAGGAGCUGAAGCUGAGCCUUGGAUCCAGAAAUCUCCUAAUUGCCUGGCAUGAUAGCAUGGAUAAGAAUCAGCACAGCUGUGAUGAGUGUAGGUAAGUUCAAAUAAUACUGAAUUUACCACCCCAUACUGAAAUUCUAUUUGUUACACACUCCUAUUGUAGUGGUAUGGCUGGUGCACGGUGACUAGGACCUUCUCUAAGUCGUCCAAUACCAGCAAGACUCUAUUAAUUCACGAGCCAAGGUGGUUAUGGACAACAGAAUAGACUUUGAUUAUCUGUUGGCAGAACAGGGUAGCAUUUGUCUUAUGGCUAAUACUUCUUACUGCUUAUAAAUCAGUAAUUUGGGGAAGGUAAAAACUGAGUUGGAGAUGACCCAAAGUCAGGCAAAUGGUUUUCAGGUUUACAUUUCACAAUUCCCCAGACUUAUUUUAUAUUAGUCUCCUUAGUUGGCUUAAUCUAGGCACUUGGGAUUCCUGAUUCUCCAAAUAACCUGGAUGGAAUAUUAUCUCAAAAUGACAGGAGUGUCUUCAAGCAAAGCAUAUCCGUAUGGGUUGUUUAGAGGUCCAAUGAGACUCACGUUCAUUUUAAAAUUUGGGAAGUAGUAGUCCUAUCAAAUUUGAUAAACUUUAUUUGCUCUUAGGCAUCUGAGUAAGACUAGGGGCUGAACUGUUGGGAAAGGCAAUUAUGUGCAGCUUUUUUGACCCUUACAUGGCUACAUGAGAGUGCAGUUUAGGCCUGAAACAUUUUGUAGUGAAAGGACUCUAAAAACCUAUACUGGGAAAAUUGCCUAGUUUGGGGAUAUCUUUUGAUAUUCAAGAUUUGAUUUACUGGGUGAGUAAAAUAUUGUUAUAUCCAGUGCUGUGGGUACCGUGUCUUAGUGAUCCCAAUGCUGCAAAUUGUACAGUGGGUUGACAUGCUGAGGCUGCUGCUCCUGAUGGUAGGCAACAGAUAUUACUGAUUCCAGGAAGAAUAGGUACAGAUAAUUGAGGUUCUGACUCGUUUGCAUUGUCUUAAAUAAUUAUGAGGCAAGGCCAUGAAUUGAGAAUUGAAUGUUGAGAGAUGUAAGAGGUCAGAAGCACAUGUAAAAUUGUCAUCAUGGAGGAUGAAAAAGCAGACACACAAAGGAAAUAGAGUAGGACUGACUGGUAGUGUGGAGUGUCCAUGAAAUUUAGGACUAAAUUUUAUGUGAGUAUAGUUGCAAGCUUUCUUCUUCUAGACAUAUGAAAGUACUUCAAAGAGGUUGUGAAGAAAUGGAAUGAAAAGAUAAGUUCAUUUUGGUGCAAGAAAAUUUUGAAAUCCAUACAUAGUUUUUCAUAAUAUUCAUUUCCAUGGACUUUUUGAAGGCCCUACAUAUGCAUGAAUUUCGAGAAGUUUUGCUCCAAAAUGAAGUUAUAAUGAACUAUUCCUUACUAGAAAUCAGAUUGUGUUCUUUAUCUAUGGCUGCAUAAUAAACUACCCCAAACUUAGUGCCUUAGAACAAAACUAUUAGUAUUUCUCAUGGUUUUGUGGGUUGACAGGCUCGUUUUUCUGAUUGGGUUUACUCAUAAUGCUGCAUUCUGUUAUCAGAUCUACAGAGUGGAUUCCAGUUGAGCCAACUGGGUCAGCUGGGCCUCUCUUUCAGCAUGAUAUUUCAUUUCUGGCUUCUUCAUGGCAGGAAAUAUCAGGGCAGUAUUCCAAUAGGUCAAAUCCUAAAGUCCAGACGUCUAUUAAGUCUUUGCUUCUAUUAUACGUGCUAAUGUUUCUUUGUCAAUAACAAGUCAUAUGGCCAAUCCCUGAGUCAAGAUGGGAGAAAGAUACAAAAGUGUGAAGACACAUAAUUGCCAAGUGUGAAUCAUCAAGGCCAGUGCUUUAAUGAUCUCUGACAAUCUGCUUUUAUUAAUUCUUACACAGCUUGGACCAAAGGGAUACAUCAAUCCCCUUCUACUUCAUUAAAAAAAACCUACUGUGGUAGUUAUUUUAUAUUUCCCACUCUAGAUCAAUUUUUCAAUCUUUUCCACUCUACUUUGUGCUUCAGGAAGCAGCCUCUUCACUUUUUUCCUGCUUCCCUUGCUUCUUUAGGCUCAGAGGUGGUAUAUCCAUGAAAGUAUGAUUUAGGCAAGAAGGGGUCAAAGGAGUAGGGGCAGAAAAUCUGAAAGUUUACUUGCUUGAGCUUGAUUUUUAGAGAAUGUUACAGGAAAGCUUGUCCUGAAAUAUUGUACUCAGGGUGCACCAGAUCACCACAAACAAGGAAAUCUGCAGGACAGCAGUUUUAAUCAGAUUUUUGGAAAUGUGGUGUAGUAAGAUGCAUUUUGCUUGGGUAGGAGGGACUUCCUCUUCUACAUUCUAGAUGUGUAUUAUAAGCAAGAAGGGUCCUCCUGCUAUCCUUUUAGUACAUCAUGGGCACUUCUCUUGCCCAUGCUAUAAAACCCUUGCUAUAAAAUCCCUGGAAAAUCCCUUGUUUGGGAGGCAGUUUCUUUAGGGAAUUGUACCUUCCCACUAUCUCCUUUAUUUAUUUCAAGUAAAUAAAGCUGUCCUUUAAGUAACUUCCACUAGAGGUUGAUUCUUUGGUGAUAUCCCAAGUGAAUGGACCCCUUGUAUCUGCUAACAAAAAUAAAGCUCAACUUAGGCCCAGGAUGAUAUUCUAUCUGGUUUUCUUAUACCUUGCCCACCUUGUAAACACUCUUACUUUAUUCAUUUCACAAAUUUUCCAUUUGUUUCAUGUUGGGACCCUGACAUAUUUAGCUGUAAAUUCCUGGUUUAAUGAAGCAGAUUUAGGUGCAUUUGAAAGCAUACACACAUGCACACACACAUACAUAUAUAAUAAAGAAUAUCCUUGUCAGCUUUGGAAAUUGAAUUAGUCUUUCGGUUUCUAUGUACCAGACUGACCUGAUGGUGAGUACUUUUUUAAAAUCCCAUUCUCCAACAUUAUUCAACAUUGUCUAAAUUAAAACUGUUUUUCAGUAUGUCCUUGGGUAGCACUUUGCAUUUUCCUUUCUAUUUUAGAGUCUGAAAAAUAAAUUACAGGCAGUAUUAAUCAAAAUAUUCAGAUAAUUCUUAUGCACUGUUUAUAAAGGCUGUAAACAAAUAAUUGCUUAGAAACUGGCUGAAAAUGUUUAUGGUAACUGAAUUUCAUACCUUGUUGGUAGAUUUUAUACAUUGUUGUUGGUUAUAAUUUUUUUUUUGUUAAGAUUUUAUUCAUUUACUUGAGAGGUAGAGUUACAGACAGUGAGAGGGAGAGGCAGAGAAAAGUCUUCCUUUUUUUAGUUCACUCCCCAAAUGGCCGCAGUGGCUGCAGCUGCACCAAUCUGAAGCCAGGAGUUUCUUCCAAGUCUCCCACGAAGGUGCAGGGGCCCAAGCACUUGGGCCAUCUUCUCCUACUUUCCCAGGCCAUAGCAGAGAGCUGGAUUGGAAGAGGAGGAGCUGGGACUUGAACCGGUCCCCAUAUGGGAUACCAGCACUGCAGUCAGAGGAUUAACCUACUGCACCAUGGUGUUGGCCUCAUUGGUUAUAAUUUGUUACAAAUACAUUGGCUGUUUCACCCUUUAGCUUUACAAAAUAGCAUCAUGUGUUAUGUAUUUUAAACUGGUUUUAAAGAAGUUUAUAAUUAUUUAAAUGACAAAUAGAUGCCAAACUACAGUUUAUUCAAUAAUAUUUCAAGUGGUUUAAUCCACUUGAAAUAUCAUUAAUUUUUCAAUACACUAAAAACUUUUGACAGUUAUUUUUAUCAUGCAAUCGAUGUGAUGACUCUAUUAUGACUAUUUCAUAAUUUCAUAAUUAAAAAUAUUAUUAUUAAGGAUCAAAUGCCAUGAAUGGCUGAGUGAUUUCUUUUAGUGAAAUGAAGGUGGAGUUGGGAAUGUGUUUGACCAAAUGAUGUUUGGCUUCCUGGAUAUAUACUUCAACUUGACUUUUGUCACACUGGUUCCUAUUUUCCUGUGAUGUUCUGGAUGGCUUAUAACAGAUGUAUAAAAAAAUUGAAUGCUAUCAAGGCCAUAGAUUCAGAAGAUUUUAGCUCCAGAUAGUUAUUUAAUGGCAUGUCAUAGGUAGAAUUUUCUCAGCUCAUAUUAUAUGAGUAAUUAGACUUUGUCAACUGUGUUAAAUGGUUGCAUAAUAAAGGUUUUGAACUACAAGAAAACACAGAAUUUCUUCCUUUAAGAUAUUGAGACACAAAAAAUAGAAAAUGAAAGAUGUCAUAUUUUUCCCCAGAAACCUUUUAUUUAAGGAAUACAAACUUCAUGCAUUGCAUAAAUACAACUUUAGGAACGCAGUGAUUCUUCCCACACUGAUUCUUCCCCAAGUGUGCCUGCCCCCCACCCCUCUUCCUUCUCCCUCUCUUAUUCUUAUUUUUUACUAACAUCUAUUUUCAAUUAACUUCACACACAUAUGAUUAGCUCUACACUAAGUAAAGAGUUCAACAAAUAGUAUGAAAAAAAACAAACUGUUCCUCAACAGUCAAGAGAAAGGCUGUUCAAAGUCAUUGCAUCUCAACUCAUAGAAUGGCAAACGCCCAAAACAGCACUCCUGCCUCAGAAUCAACCCUUGGGACAUUUGGAUCUGACUAAAAGGUCCAUGAGAGUCUCACAGGCAUGGAAAGCCAUGACACGGUGGCAAAAGACAAUCUAAAUGAAAGAUCCUGGUGAACAAGACCCCAGCAGAAGGAACAGGCCAUCAAGGAGGGAGGCGCCUUUCUCUGAAAGGAGGAAGGAACCCCCACUGUGAUAUGGCCUUGACUAAACAAGUUCACAGUUGGUGAACUCAAGAGGCUUCAAUAGCCUAGACAGCUCAUAGCAAGAGUCUCGGGUGAUUGCUGACAUCAUAAAUAAGAGUGCCAAUUGUUAAAUCAACAACGGGAGUCACUGGGUACAUGCUCCCCACGUAGGAUCUCUGUCCUUAAUGUGUUCUACUAUGAAACUUAAAAACAACACUACUAGUCGAACAAUACCCUAUACCUGGUUCGGUUGUGUGAGUACAGCCUGUUGAAAUCCCUGCUUAGUAUAUACUAAGUUGAUCCUCAGUAUAUGAAGGUAAUUGAAAAUGAAAUGUG
Non-coding RNA from Oryctolagus cuniculus (rabbit), 8187 nucleotides. The record is from RefSeq and is a predicted model, not a curated record. NCBI's taxonomy places the organism in Eukaryota, Metazoa, Chordata, Mammalia, Lagomorpha, Leporidae.